Molecule: ribosomal RNA, 890 nt
Filed under: uncultured marine cyanobacterium
Lineage: Bacteria; Bacillati; Cyanobacteriota
Description: bacterial SSU rRNA
Rfam family: Bacterial small subunit ribosomal RNA
Source: RNAcentral
AGGCCUCUGGGCUGUAAACCUCUUUUAUCAAGGAAGAAGAUCUGACGGUACUUGAUGAAUAAGCCACGGCUAAUUCCGUGCCAGCAGCCGCGGUAAUACGGGAGUGGCAAGCGUUAUCCGGAAUUAUUGGGCGUAAAGCGUCCGCAGGCGGCCCUUCAAGUCUGCUGUUAAAAAGUGGAGCUUAACUCCAUCAUGGCAGUGGAAACUGUUGGGCUUGAGUGUGGUAGGGGCAGAGGGAAUUCCCGGUGUAGCGGUGAAAUGCGUAGAUAUCGGGAAGAACACCAGUGGCGAAGGCGCUCUGCUGGGCCAUCACUGACGCUCAUGGACGAAAGCCAGGGGAGCGAAAGGGAUUAGAUACCCCUGUAGUCCUGGCCGUAAACGAUGAACACUAGGUGUCGGGGGAAUCGACCCCCUCGGUGUCGUAGCCAACGCGUUAAGUGUUCCGCCUGGGGAGUACGCACGCCAAGUGUGAAACUCAAAGGAAUUGACGGGGGCCCGCACAAGCGGUGGAGUAUGUGGUUUAAUUCGAUGCAACGCGAAGAACCUUACCAGGGUUUGACAUCCUGCGAAUCUCUUGGAAACAGGAGAGUGCCUUCGGGAACGCAGUGACAGGUGGUGCAUGGCUGUCGUCAGCUCGUGUCGUGAGAUGUUGGGUUAAGUCCCGCAACGAGCGCAACCCACGUCUUUAGUUGCCAGCAUUUAGUUGGGCACUCUAGAGAGACUGCCGGUGAUAAACCGGAGGAAGGUGUGGAUGACGUCAAGUCAUCAUGCCCCUUACAUCCUGGGCUACACACGUACUACAAUGCUACGGACAAAGGGCAGCAAGUUCGCGAGGACAAGCAAAUCCCAUAAACCGUGGCUCAGUUCAGAUCGUAGGCUGCAACUCGCCU